GUGGGGAUGUAGCUCAGUUGGUAGAGUGCUUGCUGCCUAUGUAAAGACCCUCGGUUCAAUCCCCAGUACCACA
This 73-nucleotide transfer RNA is filed under the name Marmota monax (woodchuck). RNAcentral's name for it is "tRNA.Arg". The record is from RNAcentral. Lineage: Eukaryota; Metazoa; Chordata; Mammalia; Rodentia; Sciuridae.